GUCUCUGUGGCGCACAUGGUUAGCGCGUUCGGCUGUUAACCGAAAGGUUGGUGGUUCAAGCCCACCCAGGGACG
Molecule: transfer RNA, 74 nt
Filed under: Capitella teleta
Lineage: Eukaryota; Metazoa; Annelida; Polychaeta; Capitellidae
Description: tRNA-Asn for anticodon GUU
Rfam family: tRNA
About the family: Transfer RNA (tRNA) molecules are approximately 80 nucleotides in length. Their secondary structure includes four short double-helical elements and three loops (D, anti-codon, and T loops).
Source: Rfam by way of RNAcentral